This is a long non-coding RNA of Cannabis sativa, 316 nucleotides long. RefSeq lists it as uncharacterized. The record is from RefSeq and is a predicted model, not a curated record. Lineage: Eukaryota; Viridiplantae; Streptophyta; Magnoliopsida; Rosales; Cannabaceae. The transcript is spliced from 2 exons.
AUAAGGGAUGUUUAAACUGCAUUUCACAAUAUGAAUUUUAUUAGAAAGUAAAGUCAAUAGGAACAUCUGGCUCUUUGGGUAUCCAAAACCGGGUAAGUAAGAAAUUGACUUCUCCUGACCUGACCAUUUGGCCAUACUAAGCUUAUAAUUUUUCUUACCGGAUGAUCAUUUUCCUACUAAGCUUAUAAUUAAAUCGUGCAGUUAGCAUCUGGAAAUUUCAAAUAUUUCUGAUAAAAUCGAGCAAUAAGGGUUCAUAAAUAAUCUACAUCAAGAUGCUUGCAUCAAUGAAUUUUAUGAAUGAGGGACUUGUUAUGUA